GUUUUUGCUUCCACCCCCGCCAGACGAGGAGUGGGACCUCAUGUCGUCCGGAACCCGGGCAGUGGAAGGUGAUGAGGACUCCAAAGGUUGGGCUGAGAGAUGUCCCCGACCCGCCCCACCAGCUGAGACACAAGAGAAAACAAGAUCAAGCGCUCAAUUCUUUUAUGUCCAGGAAUGAGAUCAGAAAUGGGGCCUAAAAUGGUGGUUCGAAGCCUUCGAGAUCCCUUGGACCAGCUGCAUUUCUCCUCAAAUUAUAGAGCCAACACUAAAUAGACAUCUUUUUAAUUUUGCUUAGUUGUCAAUUUAUUUUAAAAAGUCGUCACUUGAUGACAUUUUAACGCCCCAAAGUAGGAAGACUGUAACUGCUCAUGUCAGAAUAAAGGAUACUAACAGAAAUUGUUUGCUAUUACCCUUUUAUCAUUUGGUGUGGGAGUGAAAACUUGUCAUUGGCUAGCUGUGGACCCGGGGCAAACGUAUCCACACUGCCCUCUAGAGACUAAAAGGUUGAGUUACAACCUUACUUUAAGUGAAGAUCAUUUCCCCUGCCUUUCUGCUUUCCUAAACUGGAACUAGAAGAGCUUUUUACUAGGAAUGAAGAAGCCGUGGGGGAGUCCUAAGAGAUAUACAGUAAGGGGAAUUGACAGUGAAAAGGUGAUUUUGGCUCUAAGGUUUUUGGAAAAAGAAAGAUUCCCAACUCAACUGUGUACAGUUAAAUCAUCGGAGAGGCCUGACGCCCAACCUAUCCUACCCAGGAUACAGAAGUCAGUUAAGGACUGUCUGAAGCCAUGGGAUGAGACUUCUGCCCAAUAACAGUGUCACCCUACAUAAAGCCACACACAUGCUUUAUAUAAUUGACGUUUAAAUCUCAAAUUUUCUUCAUUUUACAGAAGAAUCUGAGGCAGAAAGCAACUAAGUAACUUGAUCAAGACCACAGCUGGUAAAUUGUCAGAGAUGGGACUGAAUUCCAGGCUCUGUCUUUCCUGUCCUGCAGAUUCUUUGGAAUUCAAAACUCCUCCUGCAACCAUACCUAAUCUUUUCUCUGUAUCAUGCCCCCCCACCCACUUCCACUUAGACUUUGAGGGACUGAAGGCUUCAAGGACAGCAAGAAACGAGCAGAAUUUCCUGCUGAAAUUUUCCUGUUGGGGUAGAAGCCACAUGAUCAAUCAAUAAUGUUAACUCAGUGAUGUUUAAAAAACUUUCUUAGGUCACGGACCCCUUUGAGAUACUAAUUAAGGCAGUGGGCCCUCUCCCUAGAAAGCUGCACAUAGAUAUUUGCAUAAUACUUCAAAGUAUUCACAAAUACCACCUCUCCCUCCAAUCUCAUCAAUUGUCUGCCCAGAGGUCCACAGACCACCACCCCCUUCCAUGUUAGGAUGGCCUAAAAAAAUUAGCUAGGAACAGAUUUGGUGAGCUCUCUAGUGGCCUGGGAACAGGAGUGAUUAAACAGCAAUAAAGGGCCUAUUUUCCAAAUUGGGUUAUCUCACUAUUCAAGAAAAUAUUAAUGAGAAUAAGGAGGUACCAGGAUGCAAGGGAGGGUGUGUUUCUGAUUCAAUAAAACAUUACUGGGUUGCCUUCCAAAUUUCUAGUAACAGAGAAGUAGCAAAAAAAAAAAAAGCAACACUCCAAUACACUUUUUUUUUCUCCUUUUUUACUUACAUUAAAUACAUUGGUAAAUCAGCAGUCGCAUUCUGUUACCACGAUUGUUAUGUUGGGAGAGGAAGAAAGGGGAAAAAAGGCAAA
Orcinus orca (killer whale) is the source of this 1740-nucleotide long non-coding RNA. RefSeq lists it as uncharacterized. The record is from RefSeq and is a predicted model, not a curated record. Lineage: Eukaryota; Metazoa; Chordata; Mammalia; Artiodactyla; Delphinidae. The transcript is spliced from 2 exons.